ACUUACCUUAGCACCACCACGGACAGACAGACCGGCCGACGGGUGGUCGUGCUCUCUCCUUCUCACACUCCACCUUGGGUCGCUCCCGCCUCCCUCCUCCCUCUCCAGGCCCAGACUGGAGAAUUUAUUGUCAAAGGAAGCACAUGAUGGGAGCUGUGGCCGCUAGAGCUCUGGAGUCGGAGGGAUGUGGGUGUGAACUCAGUUCCGCCACUGGCCGACUGGGCACAGUCGGGUGCCUGGGCAGGAACACUGUGCUCCUGGUGCUGGCCUUGCCUGCCCGUUGAAGAGGCCCAAGGGUCAGCACCCGCUGCCAGCCAUCUCUCCACCCUUGUGCAGGGGACAGGUCCCAGAGCAUCCCCAUCCACACUGCCAGGUUCUGCUCAAGUAGGUCACACGAAGUGGGUUGCUCUACACUCUGCAAGCAAAGGAAACACGGCUUGUUUUUAAAAUAACGUAUAACAGGUUGCAUAUAUUUUGGUAUAUCCUUGUGAUGGAAUACUAUGCAGCUGUGAAAAAUAAUAAAUAUGUAUGUAUAUAUUUCUACAUUCUAA
This is a long non-coding RNA of Neofelis nebulosa (Clouded leopard), 551 nucleotides long. RefSeq lists it as uncharacterized. The transcript has 2 exons. The record is from RefSeq and is a predicted model, not a curated record. NCBI's taxonomy places the organism in Eukaryota, Metazoa, Chordata, Mammalia, Carnivora, Felidae.